RNAcentral lists this ribosomal RNA (189 nucleotides) under uncultured Methanolinea sp. RNAcentral's name for it is "partial 16S ribosomal RNA". It matches the Rfam family "Archaeal small subunit ribosomal RNA", at positions 1151 to 1338 of the family's 1478-position model. The record is from RNAcentral. Lineage: Archaea; Methanobacteriati; Methanobacteriota; Methanomicrobia; Methanomicrobiales; Methanoregulaceae.
AUGCCCCGAAUUAUCCGGGCUACACGCGGGCUACAAUGGUCAGGACAAUGGGUAUCGACACCGAGAGGUGGAGGCAAUCUCCUAAACCUGUCCUUAGUUCGGAUUGUGGGCUGCAACUCGCCCACAUGAAGCUGGAAUCCGUAGUAAUCGCGUUCCAAAAUAGCGCGGUGAAUAUGUCCCCUGCUCCUU